UCUUAUAUUUCGGUUUACAAUUUCAAGCGGUUGUACAAACGAAAUGGUCAGAUGUCUUUUAUCUUUUAAUGUAGAAACUGGUUACUACGCUCUGGAAUCUCAUAAACGGAACGAGUUGAAUAAAUAAUAAAAGACCCGAGUUCUCGAAUGGAGAUUCAGAGCGUGAUAUAGUCAUUAUUUUUGUUGCAAUUAUGAGGAUAAAUAUUUUUCAUACAAACAGCAUUCGUACAUCUGCCGCCAUCUGGACAGACGCCGUACAGUCUUGCAGAUGGCGCAACAUGAACAGUUUCAGUUUCGAAACAUUAGAAUUUGUGGCAGAAUAUUCGAUUCAAAGUUUUUUGUGAGAAAAAGAAAAAAUGUGAAUGAUUAUGAAACGUUAACGAAAUUGUUUGAAUUAUAAGAAAUCGAUGACUUGAUAAUAUAUACGGGAGACAGUUUUAUAAGUUACUUUAAAAAUUACAAGAUUUUCGCAACUCAAGAUUCAACAACUCUACAUAAAUAUACAAGUGCAUAUAUACAAUAUUGGAAGAGAUUCAAAGAAUAUAACUAAAAGAAGACGAGACUAAAACAAAUGUCGACCACGUGAAAAUCGUGUCUCGUUGUUUAUCGAAAUUCGAAAUGGGUCGAAAAAUCCCAGGAAAAAAGCACAGAGGUGUGAAAGAUCCUUUUAAACAACAGGCAAAACGUCAGGCAGAGUUAGAAACAAAAAUAAAUGCACCGCCAAAAGAUGUGAACGAACAAGCUAUACCGAAAAGUUUAGAAAAAAUAAUAGAGUUAAAAGAGGCAGUGAAAUUGGGAAAAAUAGGUAAAAUAAAAAAAAGGAAGAAGAAGAAAAAUAAUCUUAUAUCCGUUGGUAAACAAGAAUCUAAGCCUUUACAUCCAAAGGCUAGACCAGAGAAAGUUGUUCCUAUAUUUCAACAAAGGCCUGGAGAAUCUGAACAACGAUUUUUACAUAGAGUUAAUCGAGAUACGCAAGUUUUCAUUAAUGAAUUUGCUUUUGAGAAAAAAUAUGAUGUUCAAGUUAAUCGAAAUCCAGAAACAGGAAACAUCGAAGGAGUUUCAAAAUGUGAACAAACUGAAUUAGACAAAAUUGAAAUGUUGAAAUCGAGUCAUAAAAAUAUUAAAAAAAAAAAAAAAAACAGCGAUAUCAAUAAGAUCAAAAUGACUAAAACUGAAAAGAAGAAGGAGAAAUUGAAAUUGAAGAAAGAGAAACAAAUGGAAGAAAAAUUAGACGAAUUUGAUAAUUAUAAAGAUCAAGUUGAAUUUGGAGAAGUGGUUCAUGAACCACCUCAAUUAAAAAUUAAACCAAAAAAUGCUAAUGCUAUAAAUACCUCUAAACCUGGUAGAAAGAAUCUUCUUCUUUAUUCAAUGCUCAAAAAGAAUGAAAAUUCAAAGUUGGAGAAUGCUAAGACGAGAAUGACUAUAGAUAGAUCAGGAAAACGUAAAAAAUUACCACUUGGAGAAAGAAGACAGUUAGAAAAACAACAGAAUGAUGUUAUAGCAGCAUACAGAAUAUUGAAAGCACAAAAAUCUGCUGGUAUUAACUAGGAAAAUUCGGUGAAGAUCGGACAGAAGCAUCGGAGACAGGAAUACGAAGUUGGACGAAGAUCCAAGGCCUAUCCAUCUUCGUCGUUCGAACGAUCUACGUGACUGGCCACGUGACUGGUGCGCGAACAGAUGGAAACGAAGGGGGAGAGAAAAAGUAAUUGCAAAGUGGCGAUGAUCCCCUGCUACUAACAGAGUGUGGAGAAUUAACCGAGUUGUUGAAGUGAGAGCCGCAUUAACGUGUUAUUAACGUCAUGUAACCAACAUCGCGAAAGUAAUCAUGGAGAAGGUAUGCAGGCCUGCUUGGAGUAAUCCUCGACCCAUCAAGGAGCGCGGCGCGGCGGAAUCGAAGGGCUGACGAAGGGGCGUC
This is an RNA transcript of Apis dorsata (giant honeybee), 1915 nucleotides long. It is a transcript of the gene named coiled-coil domain-containing protein 137, with no coding region annotated. The transcript has 7 exons. NCBI's taxonomy places the organism in Eukaryota, Metazoa, Arthropoda, Insecta, Hymenoptera, Apidae. The record is from RefSeq and is a predicted model, not a curated record.